This 448-nucleotide ribosomal RNA is filed under the name uncultured bacterium. RNAcentral's name for it is "bacterial SSU rRNA". It matches the Rfam family "Bacterial small subunit ribosomal RNA", at positions 29 to 521 of the family's 1533-position model. The record is from RNAcentral.
AACGAACGCUGGCGGCAUGCCUAACACAUGCAAGUCGAACGAAGCCUUCGGGCUUAGUGGCGCACGGGUGCGUAACACGUGGGAAUCUGCCCUUCGGUUCGGAAUAACAGUUAGAAAUGACUGCUAAUACCGGAUGAUGACGAAAGUCCAAAGAUUUAUCGCCGAAGGAUGAGCCCGCGUAGGAUUAGGUAGUUGGUAGGGUAAUGGCCUACCAAGCCGACGAUCCUUAGCUGGUCUGAGAGGAUGAUCAGCCACACUGGGACUGAGACACGGCCCAGACUCCUACGGGAGGCAGCAGUGGGGAAUAUUGGACAAUGGGCGAAAGCCUGAUCCAGCAAUGCCGCGUGAGUGAUGAAGGCCUUAGGGUUGUAAAGCUCUUUUACCAGGGAUGAUAAUGACAGUACCUGGAGAAUAAGACUCCGGCUAACUCCGUGCCAGCAGCCGCGGU